RNAcentral lists this ribosomal RNA (253 nucleotides) under uncultured bacterium. RNAcentral describes it as "partial 16S ribosomal RNA". It matches the Rfam family "Bacterial small subunit ribosomal RNA", at positions 524 to 776 of the family's 1533-position model. The record is from RNAcentral.
UACGGAGGGUGCAAACGUUGCUCGGAAUCAUUGGGCGUAAAGCGCACGUAGGCGGUUCGGUAAGUCGGGAGUGAAAUCCCUCGGCUCAACCGAGGAAGUGCUUUCGAAACUACCGAACUUGAGUAUGGAAGAGGGUCGCGGAAUUCCCGGUGUAGAGGUGAAAUUCGUAGAUAUCAGGAGGAACACCAACGGCGAAGGCAGCUCGCUGGGACGGUACUGACACUGAGGCGCGAAAGCGUGGGGAGCGAACAGG